Molecule: transfer RNA, 73 nt
Filed under: Felis catus (domestic cat)
Lineage: Eukaryota; Metazoa; Chordata; Mammalia; Carnivora; Felidae
Also listed under: 3 other names
Rfam family: tRNA
About the family: Transfer RNA (tRNA) molecules are approximately 80 nucleotides in length. Their secondary structure includes four short double-helical elements and three loops (D, anti-codon, and T loops). Further hydrogen bonds mediate the characteristic L-shaped molecular structure. tRNAs have two regions of fundamental functional importance: the anti-codon, which is responsible for specific mRNA codon recognition, and the 3' end, to which the tRNAs corresponding amino acid is attached (by aminoacyl-tRNA synthetases). tRNAs cope with the degeneracy of the genetic code in two manners: having more than one tRNA (with a specific anti-codon) for a particular amino acid; and 'wobble' base-pairing, i.e. permitting non-standard base-pairing at the 3rd anti-codon position.
Source: Rfam by way of RNAcentral
GCCUGGCUGGCUCAGUCAGUAGAGCAUGCAACUCUUGAUCUCAGGGUCAUGAGUUCAAGCCCUAUGUUGGGCA